GACGCCGAAGGUGGUGAGUUAUCUUAAUUGAUUGUUCAGUCAGUUACAGAUUGAACUCCUUGUUCUUCUACUCUUUCCCCCCUCCUCACUACUGCACUAGACUAGUCUUUA
This 111-nucleotide Y RNA is filed under the name Cebus imitator (Panamanian white-faced capuchin). Its description in RNAcentral is "Y RNA (ENSCCAG00000008454.1)". It matches the Rfam family "Y RNA". Rfam says of the family: Y RNAs are components of the Ro ribonucleoprotein particle (Ro RNP), in association with Ro60 and La proteins. Lineage: Eukaryota; Metazoa; Chordata; Mammalia; Primates; Cebidae. The record is from Rfam by way of RNAcentral.